GAUGAACGCUGGCGGCGUGCUUAACACAUGCAAGUCGAACGAUGAAGCCCAGCUUGCUGGGUGGGUUAGUGGCGAACGGGUGAGUAACACGUGAGUAACCUGCCCUUAACUCUGGGAUAAGCCUGGGAAACUGGGUCUAAUACAGGCGAGGAGUGUCCACCGCAUGGUGGGUGUUGGAGAGAGUUAUCGGUGUUGGAUGGACUCGCGGCCUAUCAGCUUGUUGGUGAGGUAAUGGCUCACCAAGGCGACGACGGGUAGCCGGCCUGAGAGGGUGACCGGCCACACUGGGACUGAGACACGGCCCAGACUCCAACGGGAGGCAGCAGUGGGGAAUAUUGCACAGUGGGCGAAAGCCUGAUGCAGCGACGCCGCGUGAGGGAUGACGGCCUUCGGGUUGUAAACCUCUUUCAGUAGGGAAGAAGCGAAAGUGACGGUACCUGAAGAAGAAGCCCCGGCUAACUACGUG
Molecule: ribosomal RNA, 466 nt
Filed under: uncultured bacterium
Lineage: Bacteria
Description: partial 16S ribosomal RNA
Rfam family: Bacterial small subunit ribosomal RNA
Source: RNAcentral